GCUGGAAGCCUGUGAAGCUGGGCUUGUGGGUUCCUAACUUCCACACUCCUAUAGCAGGUGGGGGGUAUCGAUACUGCUCAUCAGUGGAUAUAGGAUGAAUGAAUGAGACUUGUGGCUGGCUGUUCGUCUCAUAAAUCUUGGAGACUCCUGUGGCUGAAAGUUCUGUUUGCUCCUGCCAUCCUCUCCUCAGCUGGAGCCCAAACCCUGACAGAGCCCAAGGGCUUCUCAAAACCAACACAGAUCAGAAAUCUCCCAGAAAGAAGUGUCACACCCAGUGUCUCCCAAGCUCCUGUGUCCCCAGAGAGCUUUCCUCAAGAAGCAGCUCGAGAGGUGAGUAGUUCACCAAGAGUACUCUG
Molecule: long non-coding RNA, 356 nt
Organism: Ochotona princeps (American pika)
Lineage: Eukaryota; Metazoa; Chordata; Mammalia; Lagomorpha; Ochotonidae
Exons: 3
Source: RefSeq, a predicted model, not a curated record